UACAGAGGUCCCAAGCGUUGUUCGGAUUCAUUGGGCGUAAAGGGUGCGUAGGUGGCGCGCUAAGUCGGGUGUGAAAUUUCGGAGCUUAACUCCGAAACUGCAUUCGAUACUGGUGUGCUUGAGGACUGGAGAGGAGACUGGAAUUCAUGGUGUAGCGGUGAAAUGCGCAGAUAUCAGGAAGAACACCUAUGGCGAAGGCAGCCCCCUGGGUCAAGAUUGACGCUCAUGCACGAAAGCGUGGGGAGCAAACAGG
Molecule: ribosomal RNA, 253 nt
Filed under: uncultured bacterium
Lineage: Bacteria
Description: partial 16S ribosomal RNA
Rfam family: Bacterial small subunit ribosomal RNA
Source: RNAcentral